RNAcentral lists this ribosomal RNA (495 nucleotides) under uncultured bacterium. RNAcentral describes it as "partial 16S ribosomal RNA". It matches the Rfam family "Bacterial small subunit ribosomal RNA", at positions 28 to 507 of the family's 1533-position model. The record is from RNAcentral.
GACGAACGCUGGCGGCGUGCCUAAUACAUGCAAGUAGGACGCUGAAGGAGGAGCUUGCUUCUCUGGAUGAGUUGCGAACGGGUGAGUAACGCGUAGGUAACCUGCCUGGUAGCGGGGGAUAACUAUUGGAAACGAUAGCUAAUACCGCAUAAUAGUAGAUGUUGCAUGACAUUUGCUUAAAAGGUGCAAUUGCAUCACUACCAGAUGGACCUGCGUUGUAUUAGCUAGUUGGUGGGGUAACGGCUCACCAAGGCGACGAUACAUAGCCGACCUGAGAGGGUGAUCGGCCACACUGGGACUGAGACACGGCCCAGACUUCUACGGGAGGCAGCAGUAGGGAAUCUUCGGCAAUGGACGGAAGUCUGACCGAGCAACGCCGCGUGAGUGAAGAAGGUUUUCGGAUCGUAAAGCUCUGUUGUAAGAGAAGAACGAGUGUGAGAGUGGAAAGUUCACACUGUGACGGUAUCUUACCAGAAAGGGACGGCUAACUACGUG